RNAcentral lists this long non-coding RNA (338 nucleotides) under Durio zibethinus. RNAcentral describes it as "long non-coding RNA (DZIB_LNC001473)". The record is from RNAcentral. Lineage: Eukaryota; Viridiplantae; Streptophyta; Magnoliopsida; Malvales; Malvaceae.
AAUUUCGUAAUGCUCACGGUUUGCCCGAGCUCGGUGGUGCGAGCUCCUUGCCCCAGCCGCAGAGCAAUGGUUUGGCUGAGAAGCUAAACACAGAACACUAUUGGGGGGCACGGCUAAAUCUUUAGAAGGAUGUUAGCUCGGUUCUAAAUUAAGUCGCACUGAUGGUUCUACAAAGACAGGCUUUGGGCUUUGUGGAAGUCCAUUAACCAAUAUAAUAGCCGUACGUCACCGUAGAUCUGUCAUGUGGCUCAUCAAUUCUAACAAAGGAGCCCUUGAAUGGCCAACUCCCUGAUUAUCUCUCCUUAGCCUUCGCCGGGGUGGUGUCCGGCCAAUUUUUU